RNAcentral lists this small nuclear RNA (73 nucleotides) under Cervus elaphus hippelaphus. It matches the Rfam family "U4 spliceosomal RNA", at positions 3 to 74 of the family's 138-position model. Rfam says of the family: U4 small nuclear RNA (U4 snRNA) is a component of the major U2-dependent spliceosome. The record is from RNAcentral. Lineage: Eukaryota; Metazoa; Chordata; Mammalia; Artiodactyla; Cervidae.
GCUUUGCACAGUGGCAGUAUCGUAGCCAAUGAGGUUUAUCCGAGGCGCAAUUAUUGCUAAUUGAAAAAUGUUC